GUUGUUGUUGUUGUUGUUGUUGUCGUUGUUGUCGCUGUUGUCGUUAAUGUCAUUGUUGUCAUUAUUGUUGUUAUCGUUCUUGUUGUUGUUCUCGUCAUUGUUGUUAUUGUCGUCGUCAUAGUCGUAGUCGUCAUCGUCGUCGUAGUCGUCUCGUCAUCGUCGUCGUCGUCAUCGUCGUCGUCGUCGUUGUUGUUGUUUG
RNAcentral lists this long non-coding RNA (199 nucleotides) under Hordeum vulgare. RNAcentral describes it as "long non-coding RNA (HVUL_LNC021570)". The record is from RNAcentral. Lineage: Eukaryota; Viridiplantae; Streptophyta; Magnoliopsida; Poales; Poaceae.